UGAAAUAUUAAUCUUCAGCACUGAGUCUUGCUAAAAGAACAAUGGUUAGUGGUUCAAGUGACAGUCACAUACUCUAUUGUCGAUCAUAAUUGUCGAGGCUUAAUGGUGAUAGUCAGAUACCUCAUCACAAUGAAAGAAAAGAAAAUCCUGCAGUCAUAUUGUUCUUGUUAAUUCAUCACAACCGUUGCUGGUUAUUUUACUGGUAUUUUCAAUCCGUGACUCAUCGUAGACUUUUUU
RNAcentral lists this long non-coding RNA (237 nucleotides) under Mytilus galloprovincialis (Mediterranean mussel). Lineage: Eukaryota; Metazoa; Mollusca; Bivalvia; Mytilida; Mytilidae. The record is from RNAcentral.